RNAcentral lists this ribosomal RNA (466 nucleotides) under Vreelandella stevensii. Its description in RNAcentral is "partial 16S ribosomal RNA". It matches the Rfam family "Bacterial small subunit ribosomal RNA", at positions 338 to 795 of the family's 1533-position model. The record is from RNAcentral. Lineage: Bacteria; Pseudomonadati; Pseudomonadota; Gammaproteobacteria; Oceanospirillales; Halomonadaceae.
CCUACGGGGUGCAGCAGUGGGGAAUAUUGGACAAUGGGCGAAAGCCUGAUCCAGCCAUGCCGCGUGUGUGAAGAAGGCCUUCGGGUUGUAAAGCACUUUCAGUGGGGAAGAAAGCCUUGGGGCUAAUACCCUCGAGGAAGGACAUCACCCACAGAAGAAGCACCGGCUAACUCCGUGCCAGCAGCCGCGGUAAUACGGAGGGUGCGAGCGUUAAUCGGAAUUACUGGGCGUAAAGCGCGCGUAGGCGGUCUGAUAAGCCGGUUGUGAAAGCCCCGGGCUCAACCUGGGAACGGCAUCCGGAAACGGGAAGGGGGGGGCGGAGGGGAGGAAGUAAAAAUCCCCGGGGUAGCGGUGAAAUGCGUGGAGAUCGGGAGGAAUACCAGUGGGGACGGGGGCCUUCUGGACGAACACUGACGCGGGGGCGCGAAGGGGUGGGAAGCAAACGGGCUAAGAUACCCGAGUAGUC